UUUAGGGUUGCUUAAUCACCGAGCCACAUUCCCAGUCCUUUUUAUAUUUUAUCUUAUUUAUUUAUUUAUUUAUUUAUUUAUUUAUUGUUGCCAAUGAUUAAACCAAGGGGCACUUAACCAUUGAGCAAUAUUCCUAGCCCUUUUUUUAUAUUUUUAUAGACAGGGUCUCCCUAAGGUGGUUGCUGAGGCUGGCUUUGAACUCACAGUCCUCCUGCCUCAGCCUCCUGAGUCACUGGGAUUACACCACAUCUGGCUUUUAUAUUUUAUUUUGAGACAGGGUCUCAUGAAGAAGCUUAGGGCCUCGCUAAGUUGCUGAGGCUGGCUUUUGAACUCCUGAUUCUCCUGCCUCAGCCUUCCCAGUGGAGAAACAGGGAUUUCUUGAGAAGAAGGUGUAGAUGGACACAACACAAUGCCUUUAUUUUUAUGUGGUGCUGAGGAUUGAACCCGAACCGGGUCCACCCGUGCUAGCCUAACCAAGAAGUGGCUAGCCAGCAAAUCCCACAGGUGGCCUCAAUGCAAGUGACCGAGCAUCAACACUAAUUCUUCAGUUUCUCAAGGGAAAUCAAUGGCAGAAGUUCAACAAGAAAAGCUGCAUCUGCGACUCCAGAUAGUCACUUUUUGCUAAGAAAAGAGCUACAAAACAGGUUUUUCUGGGAAGCCUGUCAACAUUCCAGAUAGCAAUUCUACUGUAUUGCCAUCCUCAAUAUCCUGGUUCUGAGGCUGGAUUUUAACAGAGAGGAUGUGGGAACCCUAGCAUCUUUCAAAUUGUACCAGGGCCUCAGCAUUAUGAAGGAUAAUUCCUGACAACUUGGAGAAAACACUACGGAGUUGCUAUGAAUGGUUAUCUUUGGAGGGGUUGUAUGUCAUUGGGCAACGUCCUGGAAGAAAUAAAAAUUUAUACCUUCAACAUGCCGCUGGCUUAAAAUAUAAACACUAUAUAAUCAACAUGAAACGUUACUCCUUGGCCUGAAACUCAAGUUGUCAUGCACCUAGUAUCAUCUGUGACUAUAAGAUUUAACCAAUUGCAACUGGACAGUCCCCGUUGUUGAAAUUUUCAUCUUCUUCUCAAUUUGUAAAAAUAGGUAAGUAAAUAAAUCAAUAAAAGGUGUGUGUGGGGACGACAGGGAGGUGGUUACAUAAACCAUGGUAUAGUAUUAUUGAUUUAACAGUGAACAUGUCCAGGGUAUAUACUCCAGUGGAAGAAAAAAAGCUUUUUUCCAAACAGUAUAAAUUGUAGUGAUUUCAUUUUUAUAUACACAUAAAACAUACAAUCUGCUGUAGAAAAUAAGAGGGAAGAAAAUGCACUAAAUUACUUAAAUGGUUAC
Molecule: long non-coding RNA, 1325 nt
Organism: Marmota monax (woodchuck)
Lineage: Eukaryota; Metazoa; Chordata; Mammalia; Rodentia; Sciuridae
Exons: 6
Source: RefSeq, a predicted model, not a curated record